GGCUUCCCCCUCAUCCUCAAGUGUCAGGGAGCGAUGAAACUGGGAGCAGGGCAGUGCGAAAGGCGCGAGGUGGGCGCUGCUCCGUGCCCUGGGGCUGCAGAAGCUGCUGCAGCUUUAUCGGGGCUGCUGCAAUGUCAGGGUGCCGUGGGUUAGCCUGGGGUAAAGCAGCCUUGCUCCCUGGUUUUGGGGGAGGAAAAGCGUUUCGGGAAGUGGCAUUUAGAGCUGGGAAAUAAGUGAGUAGUUUAAAAAAAAAAAUCCUCAAAAGGGGCUAUUAGACAAGAAAAUGGUGGGGCCCUCUGGGUCUGCAGCCUGGGAAGCUAUUUCUGAAGUCUUGAAAUAAAACAACCCCAGACGGGGUUUCCCUCUAAUUUCCUCUGUAUUUCAAAAAGAAUAAAAUCCCCAUCUUCAGCAGCUGUACUAAUGACGUGAGCUCACACUAAGGGCUUGCAAGAAAUGGAUUCAUUGUGCUUCCUUCGCAUGGAGAAAGAUGCUGGAGACCUCAAAAACCAUAAACUUGCAUAUAACCUUAUAUUAAUAAUAUUAGUUUCAUCUAAUUAUGAUUAUGUUCAGAUUAUUAAUAACCUUACAUUAAUAUCCACCCAAAAGUGUAUCAAAAAAGAUAUUAGGGGAAAAAAAUCAGGAAACGAAGCACAUCUGUCAUCCUUUCUCUUUGAUUUGCAGGUGAGGUUUCCUUUGAAGUACAUCAGCUGUUCAGCCUCGGUGCAACCACUUUGUGUUAGCAUAAUAUGCUUUUGCAACGCAGUAUUGGGGUCCUCUUGGCUCGUGUUCUUGGCAGCAGCAUAGCAGCCCUCCCAGCUGACAGAGUGACAGUGUGAAGAAGCCAGGCAUCACCAGCCACCUCACUGGUUACAGAGACCACUGCGUGUGCGUGACCUAGAGCAAUAUCUGCCCGCUUGGGCUCAGAUUAUCAGCGACUAAACCAGCAGUCGGAGGAGAUGCGGGUGUUCAGUAAGGAUUCCUACCCGCUGUGCCCAGGCAGCCCCGUCAGCCCACUGGUCUCGUAACCAGGUCCUGGGUAAGCAGUUCAAUGCCCGUAGUUUUAUCGACUGACCUAAUACUGAAGCUGCAGGCAGAGGUGGGUUCCUACCCCUUUCUUUUUGACCUGAAACUACCAGGAGAAAUUCUCAUCUCACAGCUAACUAACUUUGCCUGCUUUCUGAAGCUGAAUUCAAACAUUUCACAACUUUUCUCCGUUGGAGGAAAUGGAGAAGAGCACAGAGGGUGUUACAGCACCCCUGGGGUGUUCGGUCCAGCCUCCUGCUCCAAGUGAGGCCACCUCCAACACUGGGCCAGGUCAGGAAGCAUCCUAAGGGACAAAGGUAGAGCUUGAAAUUAAAUUCUGCUCAAUUCUUUAUCAGCCAAUUGUUCUCCUACAGGCAAUACGUAUACUUGCAAGGCAGGAAUGAAUUUAGAGGAGAAAACGUUCAGAUGUGGCAAAAAUAGUGAAAAAUAAUAGAGAAAAAUGCCACUGUGGGUGGGCGUGAGGCUUCAGGGGCUCCUUGUGCACCAGGCAGCCGUUGAACUCAGCCUACCUGGAACAUGGGGAGCUGCACUGGAGAAGCUCUUCAUCCGCUUCAGAUGGGACACGGAGUUUCCACAGUAAAUCACCCAUCAUGGCACCAUGGCUUCAGAAGCUGCUCCAAAGCUGUAGGGGAAGCCCUGCCUCUAAGCGUGCUCUUUGCUGACACAGCUCUGAGCCCAAACCAGUUUAAAUCUCGCUCUGAGGCCCAGUAAAAGCCCAGGCUUGGCUCUGUGCUGGCCGCAGCUGCUCUGUGGAGUUGCUGGGAAUGACACCAACAAACUGUGUUUUAAUAACUCAGCGCUCGGCAUGCCUGCGCAGAGUCUGGGUACCUCCGAAUGGGAAACAGUGUGGGGUUCAACUUUGCUAAACUACAAACGCUUUUGAAUAGUCAAAUCUGCUUUGAAAACCUGUAAUAUAGUUAAUUAAGCUUCCUUUUUUUUCCCCCCGAAGUAAGACUUUGAUCUGCAGCAGUAGGAGCCAAAACCAGGCUUCAAAAUCCCUCCUUUGGCACCUGGACAAGUGUCUUCAUAUCAAAGCGCUGAGCACGCAACAACUGUCAGGGAGGGCAGGAGUUACAGGCUAAAUUUGACGUGUCUGACCUCUCGGUCUGGAAAAAUCACACUCAAACACUAAGCAAAGGACCUUCUCUUCAUUUAUUUUCAUUUACUAAGCUCCCCAGAAAAGUGAUUUCAAGUGUUUAGGACACACAAAGUGUCUUAAACAGUGGGGCUUCUGGCAAGUGCAGACAGCUGGGUAAGUGAAAAUUUGUUGGUGCCCAGCACUUGGCUUCUUUUCUACCAGCCCUAAACAAUCAGCUCCUCAAAACAGCAUCCAGAGGAUGCAAUCCUAAGGGUGUGCAAGGCGAGCCAAAUGUUUUCUGAGAGCUCUGUUAAGCGCUGGUGGCCUCACUGCCAUUGAGCCUUCCUCAAAAAAAAUCAGUGUGUGUGUGGGGGGAGCGGGUGGCUUGGGUAAUUAUUGCUUUUCCUCUCUUUGGUGGUAAGGCAAAGGAGAGGUGUUAGCUUGGGACCAAGGCUAAUAAAACUGUGAAACUCUCCUGUGGCCA
This is a long non-coding RNA of Anser brachyrhynchus (Pink-footed goose), 2606 nucleotides long. The record is from Ensembl. Lineage: Eukaryota; Metazoa; Chordata; Aves; Anseriformes; Anatidae.